RNAcentral lists this ribosomal RNA (1981 nucleotides) under Bacteroides xylanisolvens. RNAcentral's name for it is "partial 23S ribosomal RNA". It matches the Rfam family "Bacterial large subunit ribosomal RNA", at positions 1 to 1999 of the family's 2925-position model. Lineage: Bacteria; Pseudomonadati; Bacteroidota; Bacteroidia; Bacteroidales; Bacteroidaceae. The record is from RNAcentral.
GGGUUGUGAGGUUAAGCGACUAAGCGUACACGGUGGAUGCCCUGGCAGUCAGAGGCGAUGAAGGACGUGCUAAUCUGCGAUAAGCGUCGGUAAGGUGAUAUGAACCGUUAUAACCGGCGAUUUCCGAAUGGGGAAACCCAGUGUGAUUCGUCACACUAUCAUUAACUGAAUCCAUAGGUUAAUGAGGCGAACCGGGGGAACUGAAACAUCUAAGUACCCCGAGGAAAAGAAAUCAACCGAGAUUCCCCCAGUAGCGGCGAGCGAACGGGGAGCAGCCCAGAGCCUGAAUCAGUGUGUGUGUUAGUGGAAGCGUCUGGAAAGGCGCGCGAUACAGGGUGACAGCCCCGUACACAAAAAUGCACAUGCUGUGAGCUCGAUGAGUAGGGCGGGACACGUGGUAUCCUGUCUGAAUAUGGGGGGACCAUCCUCCAAGGCUAAAUACUCCUGACUGACCGAUAGUGAACCAGUACCGUGAGGGAAAGGCGAAAAGAACCCCGGCGAGGGGAGUGAAAAAGAACCUGAAACCGUGUACGUACAAGCAGUGGGAGCCUCUUUAUGGGGUGACUGCGUACCUUUUGUAUAAUGGGUCAGCGACUUAUAUUCUGUAGCAAGGUUAACCGAAUAGGGGAGCCGAAGGGAAACCGAGUCUUAACUGGGCGUUAAGUUGCAGGGUAUAGACCCGAAACCCGGUGAUCUAGCCAUGGGCAGGUUGAAGGUUGGGUAACACUAACUGGAGGACCGAACCGACUAAUGUUGAAAAAUUAGCGGAUGACUUGUGGCUGGGGGUGAAAGGCCAAUCAAACCGGGAGAUAGCUGGUUCUCCCCGAAAGCUAUUUAGGUAGCGCCUCGUGAAUUCAUCUCCGGGGGUAGAGCACUGUUUCGGCAAGGGGGUCAUCCCGACUUACCAACCCGAUGCAAACUGCGAAUACCGGAGAAUGUUAUCACGGGAGACACACGGCGGGUGCUAACGUCCGUCGUGAAGAGGGAAACAACCCAGACCGCCAGCUAAGGUCCCAAAGUCAUGGUUAAGUGGGAAACGAUGUGGGAAGGCCCAGACAGCCAGGAUGUUGGCUUAGAAGCAGCCAUCAUUUAAAGAAAGCGUAAUAGCUCACUGGUCGAGUCGGCCUGCGCGGAAGAUGUAACGGGGCUAAACCAUGCACCGAAGCUGCGGCAGCGACGCUUAUGCGUUGUUGGGUAGGGGAGCGUUCUGUAAGCCUGCGAAGGUGUGCUGUGAGGCAUGCUGGAGGUAUCAGAAGUGCGAAUGCUGACAUAAGUAACGAUAAAGCGGGUGAAAAGCCCGCUCGCCGGAAGACCAAGGGUUCCUGUCCAACGUUAAUCGGGGCAGGGUGAGUCGACCCCUAAGGCGAGGCCGAAAGGCGUAGUCGAUGGGAAACAGGUUAAUAUUCCUGUACUUGGUGUUACUGCGAAGGGGGGACGGAGAAGGCUAUGUUGGCCGGGCGACGGUUGUCCCGGUUUAAGCGUGUAGGCUGGUUUUCCAGGCAAAUCCGGAAAAUCAAGGCUGAGGCGUGAUGACGAGGCACUACGGUGCUGAAGCAACAAAUGCCCUGCUUCCAGGAAAAGCCUCUAAGCAUCAGGUAACAUCAAAUCGUACCCCAAACCGACACAGGUGGUCAGGUAGAGAAUACCAAGGCGCUUGAGAGAACUCGGGUGAAGGAACUAGGCAAAAUGGUGCCGUAACUUCGGGAGAAGGCACGCUGAUAUGUAGGUGAAGUCCCUUGCGGAUGGAGCUGAAAUCAGUCGAAGAUACCAGCUGGCUGCAACUGUUUAUUAAAAACACAGCACUGUGCAAACACGAAAGUGGACGUAUACGGUGUGACGCCUGCCCGGUGCCGGAAGGUUAAUUGAUGGGGUUAGCGCAAGCGAAGCUCUUGAUCGAAGCCCCGGUAAACGGCGGCCGUAACUAUAACGGUCCUAAGGUAGCGAAAUUCCUUGUCGGGUAAGUUCCGACCUGCACGAAUGG